This is a long non-coding RNA of Pan troglodytes (chimpanzee), 887 nucleotides long. RefSeq lists it as uncharacterized. The transcript has 3 exons. The record is from RefSeq and is a predicted model, not a curated record. Lineage: Eukaryota; Metazoa; Chordata; Mammalia; Primates; Hominidae.
GGGUCCUGUGUCAUUCCUUGUGACACUGAGUAGAGUGAGGGUCCUGUUGCCAUUGGACAGCUGCAGCCUGGGACUGACUGGGAGGCUCUGAUUGUUUAUCCACCACAGCUUCCCUGUCUGAGGACAUCCUAGAGAUGGGUGAUGAUGGGACUUCCUAUUGUCCUUAAACCCUGAGGAUACUGAGCAGCCUGGCCUGGGACUGUAUGUUUCAGCAGAAAUAACAGGGGACACCAGGGGCAAGCCUGAAGGUCAGCUCAGUCGUCAGGCAGCAGAACCACAAGGGUCUGGAGUACACUGCAGCCUCAACCUCCUGCGAUCAGGUGAUCUUCCUGCCUCAGUCUCCCAUGUAGCUGGAACUAUAGGUGCACACCACCACGCCUGGCUAAUUUUUUGUUUUAUUUUUCAAUUUUUUUUUAAAUAAAGAGACAGGGUAUCACUAUGUUGCCCAGGCUGGCCUUGAACUCCUAAGCUCAAGUGAUCCUCCGCCUAGGCCUCCCAAAGUGCUAGGAUUACAGCCACCAUGCCCAGCCAAGUGUUUUGAUUUUUUUGUAGAGACUGAUCUUAUUAUGUUGGUCAGGCUGGUCUUGAACUCCUGGGCUCAAGCAAUCCUCCCGUCUCGGCCUUCCAAAGUGCUAAGAUUAUAGGUGUGACCCACCGCAACCGGCCUGACUAUAGUUAACAAUAAUAUAUAGUUCCAAGUAGCUAGAAAGGGGAUAUUGAAUGUUCCUAACACAAAGAAAUGCUAAAUGUUUGAGAUGAUGGAUAUGCUAAUCACCCUGACCUUAUCACUGUACCUUAUAUGUAUCACAUCGCUAUGGACCCAUAAAUAUGUACAAUUAUUAGGUGUCAAUUAAAAAAUACAAUUAAAAAAGUCAUUUAGAGCUAAA